GGAGCCGGAAGAGGGCGCGGUUAAUAGGGGUGUGGCCUGCUGCGCGGGGGCGGGGCCUGCGGCGGGCUGAGUCUUGGCUAGAGACUGGUCCCCGCAGCUGCAGGUCAACUUAAGCCAGGAGCUUGGGAUUCCUCAAGGGCCCUCGGGGAAGUCCGGGAGCAGGGAGUGCGGUUCCUUUCCUGGCCCCCAGCGUGUCUGUGGAGCUGACCCCUCCCACGCACAGCUCUGCCUAGGGUCUGGAGAGGGUAGUCCCACCCUGAGGAAGGGGCUCAGGAGGCGCGGGGUGGCUGAGCUCUGCGACCAUGAAGGUCAAAGUCAUCCCUGUGCUUGAGGACAACUAUAUGUACCUGGUCAUCGAGGAGCACACGCGGGAGGCUGUGGCCGUGGACGUGGCCGUGCCCAAAAGGGCCCGUCCCCUGCCUGGGGCACUGUGCACCCGGGCCUGGCGCCCCAACACAGGCAGCCACCUGGACCACCUGCAUCUCCCUAACUCCCAUCCCUUUCAGCUGCUGGAGAUCGUGGGCCGGGAGGGGGUAUCACUGACAACUGUGCUGACCACCCAUCACCACUGGGACCACGCCCGGGGCAACACGGAGCUGGCGAGGCUGCUGCCUGGCCUGGUGGUGCUGGGCGCAGAUGAGCGCAUCUGUGCACUGACCCGCAGGCUGGUACAUGGCGAGGAGCUGCGGUUUGGGGCCAUCCACGUGCGCUGCCUCCUGACGCCCGGCCACACCUCGGGCCACAUGAGCUACUUCCUGUGGGAAGAUGAGUGUCUGGACCCGCCCGCCGUGUUCUCGGGGGACGCAUUAUCUGUGGCCGGCUGCGGCUCACGCCUGGAGACCACAGCUCAGCAGAUGUACCACAGCUUGGUGGAGACCCUGGGCACCCUGCCCCCUGAGACAAAGGUGUUCUGUGGUCACGAGCACACACUGGGCAACCUCGAGUUUGCACAAAAAGUGGAGCCUUGCAACAACCACGUGAAGGCCAAGCUAUCGUGGGCCAAGGGUCUAGGCUCAAGCCCCCAGACUGGUAAGCUGAGCCAAGCUGCCUGGAGCUGCCAGACAAGGCUGUGACAAAGGCCUGUGGUCAUUCCAGAAGAGGGAUGAGGAUGAUGUGCCCACGGUGCCCUCAACCCUGGGCGAGGAGCUCCUUUACAACCCCUUCCUGAGGGUGGCGUGACUUCAGUGACGUGGAUUCCAAAGAGCUCCUGGGCUGCAUGCCGGAACACGUGCUCCAGGCUGCCUCGUGAACUCAACCACCUCUGGACACCAACACAUACCACGGGGCAGAUGCAAAACCAACCAGAAGGAAGCUGAGGCAGAGAAGAGGGGCGAGGACAGUGCCUGCCCCUGCCUCGUCCCUUCUGCUGCCCACCAGGACACCUCCGACCCCAAGGUCAAGAGCACCCCAAUGCUGGACAAGCUUACUGCCCCUGACAUGGCAGGCACAACGUACAGACUGUCCAGGGGAGCCGACUCCAGCUCUGACAGUGAGACCCCUUCUUCUUCCAGCAGCUUGAAGACUUCUCCUACGAUGAGACCACAGCACAGACAGACGCUCUUCAGCUGAAUCUCAACAAAAACAGAGACCAUGAAAGGUCCCCACCACCUGCAUCCCUAGCAACCUGUGAGUGGCCAGACGUCCAGCCCCUGCUCGUGAGUGGGGGAUGAACCCAGCCAGAGGCAACUCCACUUCUGAAGGGCCUCCCGGUGCUGUGGUGGGGCAGACGCGCCUGACCCUGGGGUGCCUCGCAAUGCGCCUGGAGUGGGCAGGGCACUGCGUCCCUGGACAGCGACCCUUCCUGGAUCGUCUGCCUCCCGGGUGGGCAUUCAUUUUUCUUUUAAGCAUUUGGGAGCCUCUGCAAGGCUGCUCAACUCACAGACGGGGUGACCAACAUGAGCCAGGGGGAUUGUGCUGGGCCUUAUGCUGGGGACACAGCGCCAGCAGGCUCGGGGCCCCGCACCUGUUGUGAUGACACAAUCCACAUCGCGUGUCUGGUGCUCUUGGCUGAAGAAGUCGGGUCUGGAGGCUUCCAGCUUUUUGUCGUAGCAGGGCAUCACCGUCACGUGGUAGAUCUUGUCGGGGGUCAAAUGCUGCGUGGAGAACACGGCAGUGGUGCAGCUGCCUGGCCCCAGCAGCAAAGGCUGAGGCGGGGGUGACAGCACAGGCACGGCUGGGAGCACAGUUCUGUGUGUGGGUCCUGACCACUGCAGUCUUGGCUCAUUUUGUAAGAUGUCCCUGUUACCUGCUGCUGGGAGAAGAAGUCCUUGACCAGGGAGCCCAUGACCUGCUGCGGGGACCGGGCGGUGCUGAUGUAGGGGAGGAGGACGUUCCCGUGGGUCUUCUCGGCGUAGCAGAUCCAGCCUGAGGCCGACACAGGGUGGGGGUGGUGGGGGAAGCAAGCAGGGCAGGGGUGUGACUUUCUGGGGUGGACCGACUUGUACAGGAGUUAGGAGCCCACUAAGCCCCCACUGUGCUGUCGCCGAUACGUAUCUCAGGUGUCCCUAUGAUCACCCCUCUGGGAACUGAAGCGACUACAGGUGACCCUCAGGCAGUGCCUGCUGACGAGCCCCUCCCCCAGCACUCCCGUCACCCAUGUCCAGCUGUUGACAUCGGUCCGCAGCAUCAGCAUACCUGGGCAGGCGGAAGUCAGCACAGGCAAGGCCUGCUUGGAAUCGGCUUGUGCUCGGAAUCGCCGCACGAACUCCCACUGGCUCUCGAGGAGGCUGAAGUUCCUCGAGAAGGCGGUAUCAAACACGUAGUGUGCCCCUGCAAGGGAGCACCCACCUCACCCCAAGAAGGAUGGCCACAGCCCCAGGCGCUGCCCACCUCGCCCCGGGAGCAGGGCUCUGCCUUCCCGUGGGGCGUCACAUGACACGCUGGUGUGCAUGCAGACAGCCCGGUGUCCUUGGGCUUUCCUUCCUUUGAGCUCAGUGGCUGCCAGGGACCAGGCCAAACUCUGCAUGCUGCCUAGGGCAGCCGCCGGCACCGGGGCUCACCCCACGUCCUCCCAGCCCUACUCCCAGCACGCAGAGGUCGACCAGCUGAUCUGAGCCAGAACCCAACUCAGACCUGGGAGAUGUGCCUUGAUGGUGAUAGUUUAAAAACAAUAUUAGGAGUGGGUAAAUUCCAGACUCGGGGAAGUGCAACAUCAGAAUUCAGACAGCUUUCUAUUAAAAGGCACUGCUCUCUGUAUCAAAACAGAACUUCAA
Molecule: RNA transcript, 3212 nt
Organism: Lagenorhynchus albirostris (white-beaked dolphin)
Lineage: Eukaryota; Metazoa; Chordata; Mammalia; Artiodactyla; Delphinidae
Gene: HAGHL
Gene name: hydroxyacylglutathione hydrolase like
Exons: 9
Source: RefSeq, a predicted model, not a curated record